This 84-nucleotide transfer RNA is filed under the name Phycisphaeraceae bacterium. Its description in RNAcentral is "tRNA-Leu". It matches the Rfam family "tRNA". Rfam says of the family: Transfer RNA (tRNA) molecules are approximately 80 nucleotides in length. Their secondary structure includes four short double-helical elements and three loops (D, anti-codon, and T loops). Lineage: Bacteria; Pseudomonadati; Planctomycetota; Phycisphaerae; Phycisphaerales; Phycisphaeraceae. The record is from RNAcentral. RNAcentral also lists the same sequence under 1 other name.
GGGCCCGUGGCGGAACUGGCAGACGCAGCGGACUUAAAAUCCGUUUCCUUCACCGGAGUGUGGGUUCAAGUCCCACCAGGCCCA